CUUGUUGGUGGGGUAACGGCUCACCAAGGCACCGAUCCGUAGCCGGCCUGAGAGGGUGGUCGGUCACACUGGGACUGAGACACGGCCCAGACUCCUACGGGAGGCAGCAGCUGGGGAUCUUGCGCAAUGGGCGAAAGCCUGACGCAGCGACGCCGCGUGGAGGAUGACGGCCUUCGGGUUGUAAACUCCUUUCAGUGGGGAAGAAUGCCUUUUCUGUGUAAAGCAGGAAAGGAGCGACGGUACCCACAGAAGAAGCUCCGGCUAACUACGUGCCAGCAGCCGCGGUAAUACGUAGGGUGCGAGCGUUAAUCGGAAUUACUGGGCGUAAAGCGUGCGCAGGCGGUUGUACAAGACAGGCGUGAAAUCCCCGGGCUUAACCUGGGAAUGGCGCCUGUGACUGUACGGCUAGAGUGUGUCAGAGGGGGGUAGAAUUCCACGUGUAGCAGUGAAAUGCGUAGAUAUGUGAAGGAAUACCAGUGGCGAAGGCAGCCCCCUGGGAUAACACUGACGCUCAUGUACGAAAGCGUGGGUAGCAAACAGGAUUAGAUACCCUGGUAGUCCACGCCCUAAACGAUGUCAACUGGUUGUUGGGGGGAGUGA
RNAcentral lists this ribosomal RNA (600 nucleotides) under uncultured bacterium. Its description in RNAcentral is "bacterial SSU rRNA". It matches the Rfam family "Bacterial small subunit ribosomal RNA", at positions 245 to 835 of the family's 1533-position model. The record is from RNAcentral.